GACGGAGGAUGCAAGCGUUAUCCGGAAUGAUUGGGCGUAAAGCGUCCGCAGGUGGCAGUUCAAGUCUGCUGUCAAAGACCGGGGCUUAACUUCGGAAAGGCAGUGGAAACUGAACAGCUAGAGUAUGGUAGGGGCAGAGGGAAUUCCUGGUGUAGCGGUGAAAUGCGCAGAUAUCGGGAGGAACACCAAUGGCGAAGGCAGCUCGCUGGGACGUUACUGACGCUGAGACGCGAAAGCGUGGGGAGCAAACAGG
This 253-nucleotide ribosomal RNA is filed under the name uncultured bacterium. Its description in RNAcentral is "partial 16S ribosomal RNA". It matches the Rfam family "Bacterial small subunit ribosomal RNA", at positions 524 to 776 of the family's 1533-position model. The record is from RNAcentral.